UUCCUACGGGGGGCAGCAGUGAGGAAUAUUGGUCAAUGGUCGGGGGACUGAACCAGCCAAGCCGCGUGAGGGAUGAAGGUACAGAGUAUCGUAAACCUCUUUUGUCAGGGAACAAAGGCGGGGACGUGUCCCCGGAUGAGUGUACCUGAAGAAAAAGCAUCGGCUAACUCCGUGCCAGCAGCCGCGGUAAUACGGAGGAUGCGAGCGUUAUCCGGAUUUAUUGGGUUUAAAGGGUGCGUAGGCGGUUUGUCAAGUCAGCGGUAAAAAUUCCGGGCUCAACCCGGUCCCGCCGUUGAAACUGGCGA
This 305-nucleotide ribosomal RNA is filed under the name uncultured bacterium. RNAcentral describes it as "bacterial SSU rRNA". It matches the Rfam family "Bacterial small subunit ribosomal RNA", at positions 336 to 639 of the family's 1533-position model. The record is from RNAcentral.